Molecule: long non-coding RNA, 2874 nt
Organism: Equus asinus (donkey)
Lineage: Eukaryota; Metazoa; Chordata; Mammalia; Perissodactyla; Equidae
Source: Ensembl
CUCCAGCCCCUACCUCAACCUCAGCGCAAAUGUCUCUCCUCCAUGACCUCCCCUUCUUCAGCCCUGGGCACCUUCUCCUACCAGCACUGCCCCACUGUGCCGGCUGAGAGCGGAGUUGCAGGUGUGUCUCUACUCCGCCCCGGCCGCUCGGGAGGGGAGCGGUGGGCGCGGGGGAGCGGCUGGAGCAGGGUCAGCCCUUGAGAGCCCCGGCGCGGUGCGCGCCGACCCAGCGAGUUCCGUGGCUCUGCUGAGGGAACAAACUUGUGGCGGAUCAGACAGCGGAGAGCAGUCACCGCAGGGCGGCCAGCCGGACCGGGGACGGCGCGAACCGGACAGCCAGUGGCCCAAGGCAGGGGCCAGCCUGUCCCUCCCUCCCCGCCCUCGCUCUCCCUCUCCCGCCCUCAGCCCGGCCUCUCAACUCCCUACUUCGCGUGUCCACAAACUCUGAACGCCCAGUGUCCGCGCAUCGCCGCCGCCGGAGUUCUCCACCCUGCGUCCCGGGGGCCCUUCCCAGCUUCUCCUCCUCCCACCUUGGGGGAACCUAGCGGAGCCAGGCGGGGACGGCUCCCCGGCGGGUGGAGCAGCCAGGUGAGCCCAGAAAGGUGGGGCGGGGCGGGAGCGCUCCGGGCCCCACCCCGGGAUCCGGUGACGCCGGGGCUGGAAUUUGACACCGGACGGCGGCGGGCAUGAGACUGCUGAGGGAUGGAGUUGGGCCCGGCCCCCAGACACGGCCCACGGGCUCCACCAGCAGCAGGUCCCUCGGGCCCCAGCCCUCCCUGCGUCCCAGACCCAGGGCCCUGCACCCGCGGUAAGCUGACCUGUUUGCCCACCCCUCGUCCCAGCCCUGGGUUUAGGGGGAGCAGUCAGAAUAGUUCCCCUCCACUCUUUUCUUACAUCCUCCCUCUCCUGGGCCCAAUGCGCAGCUCUCCGCCCCUCCCAGCCCCCUCAGUCCUUCUUGUCGCUGGUCCGACUGCGGACGCCCUGCCAGCCCGCUGUAAUGUGAGGCUCUCACUGCUGCUACAGGGCACAGACUGGCUGCCAAGGCCACACUUUUGGCUAAAAGGCGCUGCCAGGUGCAUAGUCCUGGGCAUGAGCCUUUUGAGCUGCGGGGGAAAGCCGGGCACUGGUCCCAGGAAAGGUGCCUAGAAGAACACGGCGCAGGAUUCCUGUGGUGAGUAUGGGGCUGGCAGAUGGGGAGGCAAGGGCUGGAGGACCAAAAGGCCUCAGAUGGCUGGGAGGGUAAGAGAGGGCCCGAGGUGCCUUCAAGAGACCCGCUCCUGGGCUCCCCCUAGUGCAGGGGGCCCUUAAAGCUGCCUUGCCCUGCUUUCCCUCCAUCAGUGAGAGCCUGGCCCCUCAGGGCCCGUUUUCAAUUAGCUGAUCACACUUGGCCCUGAAGGACCCCACCAGGGAGGCCUGGGAGAUCCAGACCACAGGUAUGAGGCAUUCUGUGUGCUUGGGGGUGGGGGUGAAGGUGACGGCUGGGACCCAAGAGUUGGCCAGUUACUGAGGGCUCAUGAGGGCUCUGGGGCCCCGGAGUAUUUGGGAGUGCCGGCCAAUGUGGACUCAUGAAGGCUGGUGGGACUCAGAAAGGCUGGCUGAGCUCAGGAAGCAUGGCUCGUGGGACGAACUUCUAGGAGCAGGGCCAGGCUGCCAGAUCCACAGGAAGCUGGAAUGGGACAGACUUGGCCCAGCUCUCAGAGACCAGGCUGGUAUGGAGGCCUGGCUGGCCCUCCUGGGAGUUGCUCGGCCUGAGUCUGGCUGAGUGUCUGGAAAAGCCCACCCUCCUUUGAGUCUGCAGGUUUGGCGGAUGCUGCCCCCUGGUGGCCCUAGAGAGCCACGGCCCAGGCCCCCAUGCUCUUGACCUCUCAGCCCCCACCAUUUGUGGUCAGAAGAGAGAACUGAGGGGGCUCUGGGUCCAGAUAGGAAUCACAGAGGAGCAAGGUGCAGCAGGCUGGGUGGGCUGCACAGGCUGAGGGCCUGGGCCUCACGAUCGUCAGACAACACUCAGGUCACCCAGCAAGCAUCCUAAUUCUUCUCCAGGCCACAACUUCCUCCUCUGCAGCCUGGAGAGAAGACUGUAGGACGAGGGCGUCCAACUACUCUCUUCUCCAGCCAAUCCUGGCAGCUCCAGCCCUGCAGCACAGAGCAGGAAGGUCCUGGGGAAAGAGACUCCCCCCACCCGCUGUGUGGGCCUAGCCUUGGGACCUUAGCAGUCGCUGAGCUUCUCUGAGCCUAGUUUGCUCAUCUGGAAAAUGGAGAUUACACCGUUUACCUCGUGGAGUUGUGAGGACUGAAAGAGGGCACAGAUGCAAAGUGCCAAGACAUAGUUUCUCCAUGCAGCUCUCUCUCGUCCUCCUGGGUCGAGUCUAGCUCCCCAAGCCCCUUGUUCCUCACCUGGGGAAACGGAAGUGGAGGGAUGAGCUGCUCAAAGGAUAACCCAUCUUUCAAUGUUCGAAGCUGCCUCAAGAGGAGGGUGGGGAAACAGGUCAACUGCGGCUGAUGGGAGCUCUUGGUAGUGACAGAGAUGGAACCUGGAUGUGGAGGCCCUUCUGAGCCGCCCCACGGGCCUCGGCCUAGGCGGCUGCCGGCCUUGUGGCCAACCCUGGCCGCUCUGGCCCUGCUGAGCAGCGUCGCCGAGGCCUCCCUGGGCCCCGCGCCCCGCAGCCCCGCCACCCGCGAAGGCCCCGCGCCCGUCCCGGCGCCCCCCGCCGGCCACCUGCCCGGUAGGUGAGAGGGCGAGGGGCGGGGGCGGGCGGGGGCUGGCCCGGGACCCCGCCCGUGACUCCGUCUCAUUCCAGGGGGCCGCGCGGCCCGCGUAUGCGGCGGAAGAGCCCGGCGGCCGUCGCCGCAGCCUGCCCGGCCCGCGCCCCCGCC